Lutra lutra (Eurasian river otter) is the source of this 182-nucleotide long non-coding RNA. RefSeq lists it as uncharacterized. The transcript has 3 exons. The record is from RefSeq and is a predicted model, not a curated record. NCBI's taxonomy places the organism in Eukaryota, Metazoa, Chordata, Mammalia, Carnivora, Mustelidae.
CCAUUCCUUGAUUGGAUUAUUUGUUCUUUCAGUGUUGAGUUUGAGGAGCACUUUAUGGAUCUUGGAAGUCAGCCCUUUGUCUGUAGUGUCAUUUGUGAAUAUCUUCUCCCAUUCUGUGGGUUUCCUCUUUGUUUUGUUGACUGUUUCCUUUGCUGUGCAGAAUCUUUUGAUCCUGAUGAAGU